Long non-coding RNA from Carassius gibelio (silver crucian carp), 1145 nucleotides. RefSeq lists it as uncharacterized. The record is from RefSeq and is a predicted model, not a curated record. NCBI's taxonomy places the organism in Eukaryota, Metazoa, Chordata, Actinopteri, Cypriniformes, Cyprinidae. The transcript has 4 exons.
GAAUAUAAUUAGCAAAAAUGUACUUUAUUGCACAUGUAAUUAGAAAGUUAUUGAACGCGGAAGUCCGAAUGUGCGAUAAUAAAACCAACUUUACCGCAGUCAGACUAGCAGUACGUGUCUUUAAUCAGUAAUGAGCUUCAAUCGCGUUUUCAUUAGAUGUCAGCAAAGCACCAGAAAAACAUCAGAGCAGCUCUGCAGCAUCCGCAUUCGAACACAAGCGCGAGCUGCUGCUGUCAUUACCGAACCGAACCGAGACGAGCCGAGGUAGAACACACACACACACACGCGCGGGAACGGGGCAGAUCUGCAUUCAUCGGAAUCAGACGAAAUGAGCUGCUUUUGGAUACACUCGAUCCUCAUCCCGGGAUUCUUCCUACUCUUCGGGUUUGAAGGAUUCUAAGAUUUCUGCUAUUCCUGCAGGCCACUUCAAACUGAUAAAGCUUCAUCCAUUCAGGCAGCUCUCGAGAGCGGGUUAUCAAACAGCGCAGUUGCUGUGAGACAAGAAGUUCCAUUGAAAUGAAGACUUGUAUACAGUCGCUGUUUAUGAGUGGUUUGUGUAACUCGGUCACUCGAGGAGCUGCUGGAGAGAGUGUGGAGAGAACAGCUGAUGAAGGGUCUGUAUCUGUCUCGGUUCGCUGUCUCAGUGAGCAGAUACUGGGUUGAAUCACAUUGAUGAAGAUUAACAGAUGCCACAUGCUGCAGACACAAGGGAAUUUGUCAGACUCGUUUUACUGGACUGGAUGUUUUCCGGAGCAGUGUCUUAAACUACAAGAACUCCAGAAAUGGCCAUACUUGAUUUGCAGGACGUUGUGGACAUAUACAGUACACAGAAGGACUGGACGACCUGCGCUCUCAAUCUACUGUACACUGAUGAUAAACUCUGAGCUGCUGUUUUAUUGAUAAUCUACUGAGAUUAGACAGAUCCAGUCUAGAAAUUAAAGGCUAAUAUAUACUGUAUUUUAUACAUUACAUUUCAUUAUAUUUAUUUAAUGCAUUAGUUUUAAUCAUUAAUAAUUGUUUAACAACGAUUUCCCAUAAUGCCAUCACCUGUGUUAAGUUUUUUUUUAAUUCCACGACUGAAAUGCCUUCUUCCUGUUAUUGCUGUGAGACAGAACAACGAAUAAACCUCACUGAUCUCAUGGGAA